RNAcentral lists this ribosomal RNA (511 nucleotides) under uncultured bacterium. RNAcentral describes it as "partial 16S ribosomal RNA". It matches the Rfam family "Bacterial small subunit ribosomal RNA", at positions 28 to 507 of the family's 1533-position model. The record is from RNAcentral.
GACAAACGCUGGCGGCAUGCCUAACACAUGCAAGUCGAACGGACAGAACAGGGAAGCUUUUCGGAGUGGAACUGGAAAGUUAGUGGCGGAUGGGUGAGUAACGCGUGGACAACCUACCUUGUAAAGGGGAAUAACCUCGAGAAAUCGAAGCUAAUACCCCAUAAUAACCUUGCUUCGCAUGAAGUAAGGAGGAAAGGCGGCCUUAGCGCUGUCGAUACAAGAUGGGUCCGCGUCUGAUUAGCUAGUUGGUGAGGUAAAGGCUCACCAAGGCGACGAUCAGUAGCCGGCCUGAGAGGGUGAACGGCCACAUUGGGACUGAGACACGGCCCAAACUCCUACGGGAGGCAGCAGUGGGGAAUCUUCCGCAAUGGGCGAAAGCCUGACGGAGCAAUGCCGCGUGAGUGAAGAAGGCCUUCGGGUUGUAAAACUCUGUCCUUAUCGAAGAGAGUGUGUUGUAGUAAUUGACAAUACUAGGACGGUAGAUGAGGAGGAAGCCCCGGCUAACUAUGUG